AAAGAAGUAAAUAUAUACAAUUAGUUUCGACCUAAAGUUAGGAAUAUAAAUUUCCCAUGUUUU
This 63-nucleotide transfer RNA is filed under the name Typhlocyba choui. RNAcentral's name for it is "tRNA-Arg". The record is from RNAcentral. Lineage: Eukaryota; Metazoa; Arthropoda; Insecta; Hemiptera; Cicadellidae.